RNAcentral lists this long non-coding RNA (918 nucleotides) under Nicotiana tabacum (common tobacco). Its description in RNAcentral is "long non-coding RNA (NTAB_LNC018047)". Lineage: Eukaryota; Viridiplantae; Streptophyta; Magnoliopsida; Solanales; Solanaceae. The record is from RNAcentral.
GUCUAUAAAUUACACCAUCUGAAAAGCAUUGAAACACUACUACAAAACCGUUUCCAAAGCUUAUAUCAUUGUUCUUAUUAUGGCAUUGUUUAAGAUGGGUUUCGUUUUCACUGUUCUUCUCGUGGCAACUGCGAGUUAGUAUCUAUCUCACCUUAAUGAUUCUACAUUAUUGUCCAUGUCACAAUAUAUGUAGGUCGAUAAUGUCAUGUCUCUCCAUGCAUGAUGAUUCAAUGUGUUACUACUAAAAAAUACUGGAGUUAGCUACGAACUUUAUCGCUAAUCUGUCACUAAAUCGUUCAUAUCUAACAGAAAAUUUUGAUAAUCUGUCACUAAUCUAUCGCUAAGUAGUAUUAGUAAUGGAGUUUUGUCUUAAGCUAUAAAAUUCGUCUGUUGCUAUUUCAUUUAUUUUAGUAGCGUUAUUUUGUGUUACAUCGUCAACAUAUUUUGAUUUUGUACUAAUAACGAUAGUGGUUAACUAUUUCAGUUAAAAUAGCAUGGUUUUCUGAGAUGCAUCUUGUGGUUGCACGGAAUGUUGAUCAUGAUUUCCCAGGACUCGAGCGGAGACUGCUUCCACAACUUAAUGGACUUACAUGUUUUCGAUCUUGUGAACAUACCUAUUAUUGUGGCAAGGAUUGUUGGGUUUGUUGUGCUUGCCGUGGAGAUAAGGGAAACCAGAUAUGUAUGCCUUAAAGGUACAUUGGUGUUCAAUUGUAAUGUACUUUGUUUCAGAUCCCUAUUGUGCAUUUAUGUUAUUGUAAGUCUAGUGUUCCUUGUUUUCUCUUUGUAAUUUGUAAGAAAAUAAAGUAAUUCAAGAGAAUGGCUUUUAGUUGCUGUUUCCUAUUUUCACUUGGUACGAAAAUUAAGUGAAGAUAUUGGCUUUAUGUUAAUGAAUAAAAUGGGAUUUGAAUUAUAAUGGUU